GACGAACCGAGCGAACGUUGUUCGGAAUCACUGGGCUUAAAGGGCGCGUAGGCGGGUGCUCAAGUCCGGGGUGAAAUCCUCCAGCUCAACUGGAGAACUGCCUCGGAUACUGGGUGUCUCGAGGGUGGUAGGGGUAUGCGGAACUAUCGGUGGAGCGGUGAAAUGCGUUGAUAUCGAUAGGAACUCCGGUGGCGAAGGCGGCAUACUGGACCACUUCUGACGCUGAGGCGCGAAAGCCAGGGGAGCAAACGGG
RNAcentral lists this ribosomal RNA (253 nucleotides) under uncultured bacterium. RNAcentral's name for it is "partial 16S ribosomal RNA". It matches the Rfam family "Bacterial small subunit ribosomal RNA", at positions 524 to 776 of the family's 1533-position model. The record is from RNAcentral.